This 527-nucleotide long non-coding RNA is filed under the name Homo sapiens (human). RNAcentral describes it as "non-protein coding lnc-TCF12-6:1". Lineage: Eukaryota; Metazoa; Chordata; Mammalia; Primates; Hominidae. The record is from RNAcentral.
CAAGAAAAAGCAGCCAAUGCUUCAGUCAACUUCUCAAAGUUCUCUAAGAAGUGCUCAGAGUAGUGGAAGAUCAUGUCUGCCAAAGAGAAAGGAAAAUUUGAAGAUAUGGCAAAGGUGGACAUGAAAAAGUAAUGAAAACCUGUGUUUCCUAAAGGGGAAACAAAAAAAGUUCAAGGAACUCUAUGUAUCUGAGAGCCUCCUUCGGCUUUUUUUCUUGUUCUGUUCUGAAUAUCGCCCAGAAGUCAAAAGAGAACAUCCCAUUGGUGAUGAGGCAAAGGAACUGGGAGAGAUGUGGAAUAACACUGCACAAAUGACAAGCAGCCUUAUGAAAAGAAGGCUGUGAAGCUGAAAGAAAAAUGUGAAAAGGAUAUUGCUGCAUACCAAGCUAAAGAAAAGCCUGAUGCAGCAAAAAAACGGGAGAUGUCAAGGCUGAAAAAAGUGAGAAAAAGGAGGAAGAGGAACAAGAUGAAGAGGAGGAAGAGGAAGAGGAAGAAGAAGAAGAGGAAGAAGGAGGAGGAGGAGAAGGA